GGGGGUGACCUGGUUUCGACGUGGGUUACAAAGCAGCGCAGGGCAUACCGAGGGCUGGCUACCUCGUAAAUACAACCAGAAAAUAUCUAACUGCAAACGAAGAUACUUUCUUAAAAGUCGCUUAAUAGCGCUUUUCUCUACACCAUUUUGUCUCUGGAGUGGGCUGGAAACAGCUGUGGAGUCAUAUACAGGGAAUCGCUUUAAGUCGGGUUACUUGGCUAAAAGUUAAAUUAAGGUAACUCGCCUGAACGAAGCGUGUAUGUCCGCAUCGGUUGGGUUAAAUAAAAUGACAACACUAAGUAUGUAGAACUGUCUGUAGAGGUCUUGCGGACGCGGGUUCGAUUCCCGCCGCCUCCACCA
RNAcentral lists this transfer-messenger RNA (360 nucleotides) under Burkholderiaceae. RNAcentral's name for it is "Glaciimonas sp014377145 Standard tmRNA". It matches the Rfam family "transfer-messenger RNA". From Rfam's summary of the family: Bacterial tmRNA, also known as 10Sa RNA or SsrA, is named for its dual tRNA and mRNA-like properties. Its role is to liberate the mRNA from a stalled ribosome. To accomplish this part of the tmRNA is used as a reading frame that ends in a translation stop signal. The record is from RNAcentral. Lineage: Bacteria; Pseudomonadati; Pseudomonadota; Betaproteobacteria; Burkholderiales. RNAcentral also lists the same sequence under 1 other name.